UACAGAGGGUGCAAGCGUUGUUCGGAAUUAUUGGGCGUAAAGGGAGUGUAGGCGGUUUCCUAAGUCUUCUGUGAAAUCUACGGGCUUAGCCUGUAACGUGCAGAGGAAACUGGGAGACUUGAGUGUCGGAGAGGAUAGGGGAAUACCCAGUGUAGAGGUGAAAUUCGUAGAGAUUGGGUGGAACACCAGUGGCGAAGGCGCCUGUCUGGCUGACAACUGACGCUGAGACUCGAAAGCAUGGGGAGCAAACAGG
This 253-nucleotide ribosomal RNA is filed under the name uncultured bacterium. RNAcentral's name for it is "partial 16S ribosomal RNA". It matches the Rfam family "Bacterial small subunit ribosomal RNA", at positions 524 to 776 of the family's 1533-position model. The record is from RNAcentral.